RNAcentral lists this microRNA precursor (98 nucleotides) under Prunus dulcis (almond). RNAcentral describes it as "sRNA ncRNA". Lineage: Eukaryota; Viridiplantae; Streptophyta; Magnoliopsida; Rosales; Rosaceae. The record is from RNAcentral.
AUUUUUUUAUUUAAACAGUCUAGCCGCGCGGCUAUACGUUUUAAUUUUAAUUAUUUAAAGAGUAUAGCCACGCGGCUAUACUAUUAAAAAUUAUUUUU